RNAcentral lists this ribosomal RNA (466 nucleotides) under uncultured bacterium. RNAcentral's name for it is "bacterial SSU rRNA". It matches the Rfam family "Bacterial small subunit ribosomal RNA", at positions 355 to 825 of the family's 1533-position model. The record is from RNAcentral.
UAAGGAAUAUUGGUCAAUGCCCGGAAGGGUGAACCAGCCAUCCCGCGUGAAGGAUGAAGGGGCUCUGCCUUGUAAACUUCUUUUGAAUGGGACGAAAAAGCCUCACUUGUGAGGAACUGACGGUACCAUUAGAAUAAGCACCGGCUAACUCCGUGCCAGCAGCCGCGGUAAUACGGAGGGUGCGAGCGUUAUCCGGAAUCACUGGGUUUAAAGGUGCGUAGGCGGCUGUAUAAGUCAGUGGUGAAAGGCUGUGGCUUAACCAUGGGAUUGCCAUUGAUACUGUACGGCUUGAAUUAGGAUGAGGUUGGCGGAAUGUGACAUGUAGCGGUGAAAUGCUUAGAUAUGUCAUGGAACACCGAUGGCGAAGGCAGCCCCCUGGGCUAACACUGACGCUCAUGCACGAAAGCGUGGGGAGCAAACAGGAUUAGAUACCCUUGUAGUCCCUGAGCGGGCUGGCAAGGCGCAU